This is a long non-coding RNA of Aedes albopictus (Asian tiger mosquito), 2638 nucleotides long. RefSeq lists it as uncharacterized. The record is from RefSeq and is a predicted model, not a curated record. Lineage: Eukaryota; Metazoa; Arthropoda; Insecta; Diptera; Culicidae. The transcript has 2 exons.
UUCGAGAAAUACCCUGAAACGUUUCGUAUCGUAGUUUAUGGCUGAUUCUGAAUAACUAUUGAAGUAAAGGAAAAUUCAACUAUUUGAGCUUUCCUAAUGCAUUACAAAAAAGUCGCCUCUGUUGGCUCAUAUAAAAUUAGGCCAUUUUUGUCCAAUGCACGAGCAGGUUUUUAUUUGUUUUAAUAAAUUAUCUUGAAAUAGGAACAAUUACGGAUGUAGCAGUUUACCUAGGAGGGUGAACAGAUACGACAAGGUUUAAAUUCGGAAUAAGAAUGCGCACUGCACAGUGGAACAAAUCUAUCCCCACACAAAAAUGCUGCUAAUAUGAAGGGAGGUCUCACGGGAACUGGUAUAUGUAUGUUGGGAUCCCAGGUGAACAACCCCAGUAAUUCAUCUCUUUCGAUUAUAGCACACGAAAACACACCAAUUCCAUUCCGAAUAUACUUCGGUGACCAGAUCACGACUGCUGAUCUGCUGCACCGCUCAACGCAAACUGUCUUUAUUUCAUAAGUACAAUAGAUACAAUAAUUCAAUUUAAUAGAGGUUUCCGGUAAAGUUCAAUAAUCAAAUUUAAAAUACAACAUGUAUAUGACCACUUUUAGGUUCCGAACCUGCUUCCAUAAGAUCCGCACCAGGACAUAAUUAAUUACGAUAAAUCAAAAAUUCACAUCUAUCUAUUCAUAUUCAUUGAGGAUGUAUGUGAUGACAUUCUCAGAGCUCUAUAGGUCUAUAGGGUAUCAUUUUCUCAAUAACGGAUCCCUGGCAAGUUCCACGGGAUCCGAAUAUUCCGAAUAUUGGGCGACAUUUAUCAACAUCAUUGGCGUAGCUAGCUUUUUCUUUUAUCUCGCUCACUCUCCUAAACAAACACGAGAAAGAGAAGGAUGAAAGAGGGGGCACAUAAAGUGUGACAUAUCAAUUCACUUGUAUUUUGAGCGAGAAAGUGAAUAAUAACUGUAUUGUAAAAAUUAUACACACUCGAUUCAAGGGGAAAAUGAUCACAUGAUCAAAAAUGUUUUUCCCUUGAAUUAGUAAUGCUGUCAGUGUUGACUUGAGAAUCAAAACAAACCUAAUGGAGAUAUCAACUGAAAAUCACUUCGGUUCGCACUAAUGUACAUACGCUGAUGACUGCUUAUAAUGACUGCUUUGGGCAUGAAAGUAAAUAUAGAUGACAAGUGGUAGAAAGUUUUUCGUUUCGAUUCUCUACAACAGAUGUAGUGUAGUGGUAAAACAGAUGAUCACGACUUUCAAGGUCUUGGUAUCGGAUCUGAGUGCGCAACGCUGUGUUUUUUUUUUUAAUUUUUGUUUUGAAAUCAAAACAUUGUCAACAACGAAUUGAAGUGAAGUUGCAAUAAAAUUGAAGAGGCGUUGGAUGUUCUUUUCCAAGUGAUAUUUAUUCGAUAUGGAAUUGGUUGAAUAGUAGUGCCAAUUCAAGUGCUAAUCAGUUCAAAUCAGCGUGUUGAUUUUUACCGUGUACCACAGAUCUUAAUUCCUUCAUUUGAUUACAUAUUUACGAAUAUCUGUUCAACUGGAAUCUCAUUCCGGACGUUAUUAUUGAAUUUACUUACCUCUAGUGCGACAUAUUCACAUCUAUUUUUAGGGGGGAUAUGAAUGGUGACUUCUUCAUAUUUUUCAGAGAUCAAUUUAUAUGAAAAUCUACCGUUUACCGUUUUCAGACUUUUUAUUUUGUGGUAUAGUCAAUUUGAUUCAAUUAUUUUACUGCAAUGAGCUGUUUAUAGCAUGACUACUGGUAUAUUUACUUUAGUUGUUCUUUGUUUUAUUUAACUAAAUUGUAAAAUUAAAAGUUUUCAUAUUUGCCUAAGACAGCGUCCAACGUAACGCUAAAAUCGUCAUUUUAUGACCUCCCCUCCCCCUCCGUAACGCUUUUCCCUAAGUUUCAGUAGCGUUUUCAUUAAAUUUUGUUUCGUUUUAAGAACGUCUGCCUAUUUUCCGUGAGUUGUUCAACAUUCCCUGAGAUAAAAAGUCUAUUAAAGUUGGGCACACGCACAGAAAUUUGGUUGAGUCGAUUCAACAAAAUGAAUUGUUGAAUUCAAACCCUUCGGUUUGUUGAACCGUUUAUCAGGUUUUGUCGUACCAACAAUCAGUUUUUGUUGCAAUGACAAAUAUAUUGGACGAUUCAAUAAUCAUGUUGUUGGUUAAGGUUUUUUUUUAAUUUAACAGUGUAUUGUUUUGCCGGAGUAAAAAGAAACAAUGUCCGAAUGUAAUCGUGACUAACUGCGAAAUUUAAGAAAAUAAACGAAAUAUGUGCGAAUAUCCCACUGAAGUAAACCUUGGUUUCAAAGAAAUUUAAUCUAUGAUACGAUUUAUAUUUCGUAGAAAAUGGUUGCGCACUGCUUUACGGACUUACGGCGAAAAUAAAAUUGAACCCGGUUCCACUUUCAGAGGAUGAAAAUCAGCAGAAUUCCACAUGUUUCGAAUCCUGUCAGGAAUUCAUAUUCCAUCCAGUCUUCCCAACAUAACCUAGUGUGGAUGCCGCCUUCAACGCAGCUGUUGACGGUAAUUCAACGGGGAAGAAACUGGCGAAUGUUUAUGCGUAUUCUUAAUCAAUGUUAAACGUGUCUCAGGAGAUUAUGUUAUGCAUAUGAUGAAAAGCUCGGUAAAUAAAUGCAAAAAAUAUAGA